Molecule: ribosomal RNA, 60 nt
Filed under: Isotropis cuneifolia
Lineage: Eukaryota; Viridiplantae; Streptophyta; Magnoliopsida; Fabales; Fabaceae
Description: partial 26S ribosomal RNA
Rfam family: Eukaryotic large subunit ribosomal RNA
Source: RNAcentral
GAGACCUCAGGUCAGGCGGGGCUACCCGCUGAGUUUAAGCAUAUCAAUAAGCGGAGGAAA